GGCUGCACCCAGGGGCAGGGAGGGAGAGAAGAGGAGGAGGGAGGUUAAACGAGGCAGGAAGACGCAGAGGGAGCGAAGGGAAGGGCGUCCGGCCUGCACCCGCUCCCUCUCUGGAGGCGGCAGGCGGCGCUGUGAGCCGAGGAAGCGGAGCCACCCCCACCGUAGCUUCCCGCUGCCCUUUGCCUCCCGGCGGCGGCGCGGAAAUCAAAUUUCGGCGCCUGGCCGGGCCCUCAGCGCCGCCGCCGCUGCCACCACCCCGGGCCGGACUCCCAACUCCAGCGGGAAGGAGGCGACAUGUCCAAGAAAAAGGGACUGAGUGUUGAAGAGAAGAGAACUCGUAUGAUGGAAAUAUUUUUUGAAACAAAAGAUGUGUUCCAGUUAAAGGAUAUGGAGAAGAUUGCUCCGAAAGAGAAAGGAAUUACUGCCAUGUCGGUAAAGGAGAUCCUGCAAAGUUUAGUUGAUGAUGGUAUGGUGGACACUGAUAGGAUUGGAACUUCCAAUUAUUUUUGGGCUUUUCCAAGUAAAGCUCUUCAUGCCAGGAAGCGUAAAUUGGAAGCACUGGAGACUCAGUUGGCUGAAAGUAGCCAGAAGAAAGAGAGGUUACAGCAAAGCAUUGAGAAAUCAAAAAUCGGACGCCAAGAGACUGCAGAACGUGCUGCCCUAACGAAAGAACUUGCUGCUCUCCGGCAGAAAAAAGAGCACCUAACAGCAGAAAUAGAGAAAUACAAAGAAUGUGAUCCAGAUGUUGUUGAAGAAAUCCAUCAACUUUACCUGAAUGAUCAGGAUAUUAGAUUUGUGACACCCCAAAAUGUAGGGAUAUGAAAGAACUUUGAGGCUCUAUGGAAGUUUCUAAAUACAGUAUAACAGAACGAAAGUCUUGAUGUUCCCCUUGACUAGUGUCAUUGCUGCAAAGUACAUGUUGGAGGGAGCAGGUAACAUCAAAUGCAGGUCAAGCAAACAAAGUUGCCAAGGAAGCAGCCAACAGAUGGACUGAUAAUAUCUUUGCAAUAAAAUCUUGGGCCAAACGGAAAUUUGGAUUUGAAGAGAACAGAA
Molecule: RNA transcript, 1053 nt
Organism: Mauremys reevesii (Reeves's turtle)
Lineage: Eukaryota; Metazoa; Chordata; Testudines; Geoemydidae
Gene: MND1
Gene name: meiotic nuclear divisions 1
Exons: 9
Source: RefSeq, a predicted model, not a curated record